RNAcentral lists this unclassified non-coding RNA (345 nucleotides) under soil metagenome. RNAcentral's name for it is "partial contains 5.8S ribosomal RNA, internal transcribed spacer 2, and large subunit ribosomal RNA". The stretch from base 1 to 120 matches the Rfam family "5.8S ribosomal RNA", at positions 35 to 154 of the family's 154-position model. The record is from RNAcentral.
GAUGAAGAACGUAGCGAAAUGCGAUAAGUAAUGUGUAUUGCAGAAUUCCGUGAAUCAUCGAAUCUUUGAACGCACAUUGCGCCCUCUGGUAUUCCGGGGGGCAUGCCUGUCCGAGCGUCAUUUGCAACCCUCAAGCCCGGCUUGUGUGAUGGGUGCCGUCCCCUACGGGACGCGCCCCGAAGGCAAUGGCGGCGUCGCGGUUAUCCGAUCAGCCAAAGUGUAUGGGGCUUUGUCACUCACUUUACGGCCCGGACCGGCGCCAGUCCGAAUCAAUCUUUUUUCUAAAGUUGACCUCGGAUCAGGUAGGGAUACCCGCUGAACUUAAGCAUAUCAAUAAGCGGAGGA